UGGCCGCUCGGAGAUGGCAUGCCUCCCGUUCCGGCACCUUCGGAUGCGCCGGGACAAACCGCUACUCGUGAUCCCGCGUUGAAGCUGAUGAUGCCUGCACCUCC
Molecule: non-coding RNA, 104 nt
Filed under: Rhodanobacter spathiphylli
Lineage: Bacteria; Pseudomonadati; Pseudomonadota; Gammaproteobacteria; Lysobacterales; Rhodanobacteraceae
Description: Rhodanobacter sp. Fluoride sequence
Rfam family: Fluoride riboswitch aptamer (crcB RNA motif)
Source: RNAcentral